This 118-nucleotide ribosomal RNA is filed under the name uncultured bacterium. RNAcentral's name for it is "partial 16S ribosomal RNA". It matches the Rfam family "Bacterial small subunit ribosomal RNA", at positions 1367 to 1482 of the family's 1533-position model. The record is from RNAcentral.
UACGUUCCCGGGUCUUGUACCACACCGCCCGUCACACCAUGGGAGCGGGUUUACCAGAAGUAGGUAGCUUAACCGCAAGGGGGGCGCUUACCACGGUAGGAUUCGGUGACGUGGGGUG